GAGUUGUAUGAAAGGAGAGAAGGUUAGCACUCCCCUUGACCAGGACGGCAGAGGCCCUCAGGCCUGGCAGCAUGCAUAGGGUUAAGGCGUUGCCAGCUGCUUACAACAUCAUACAUUGUGAAAGAUAGCAAAACCUGCGUGUUCC
Molecule: small nuclear RNA, 145 nt
Organism: Otolemur garnettii (small-eared galago)
Lineage: Eukaryota; Metazoa; Chordata; Mammalia; Primates; Galagidae
Source: Ensembl